UAAGGAAUAUUGGUCAAUGGGCGCAAGCCUGAACCAGCCAUGCCGCGUGGAGGAUGAAGGUCCUCUGGAUUGUAAACUUCUUUUAUUUGGGACGAAAAACGGGGAUUCUUCCUCACUUGACGGUACCAGAUGAAUAAGCACCGGCUAACUCCGUGCCAGCAGCCGCGGUAAUACGGAGGGUGCAAGCGUUAUCCGGAUUCACUGGGUUUAAAGGGUGCGUAGGCGGGCUGUUAAGUCAGUGGUGAAAUCUUUGGGCUUAACCCGAAAACUGCCAUUGAUACUAUCAGUCUUGAAUAUUGUGGAGGUCUGCGGAAUAUGUCAUGUAGCGGUGAAAUGCUUAGAUAUGACAUAGAACACCAAUUGCGAAGGCAGCAGGCUACGCAUAUAUUGACGCUGAGGCACGAAAGCGUGGGGAUCAAACAGG
This 424-nucleotide ribosomal RNA is filed under the name uncultured bacterium. Its description in RNAcentral is "bacterial SSU rRNA". It matches the Rfam family "Bacterial small subunit ribosomal RNA", at positions 355 to 776 of the family's 1533-position model. The record is from RNAcentral.